Molecule: non-coding RNA, 72 nt
Organism: Stomoxys calcitrans (stable fly)
Lineage: Eukaryota; Metazoa; Arthropoda; Insecta; Diptera; Muscidae
Source: Rfam
GCUUCCGUAGCGUAGAGGUUAGCAUGUCCGCCUAUGACGCCGAACGCCUGGGUUCGAAUCCUUGCGAGAACA